UGGGUUCCAGGAAGUGUAAGAAAAAUAACCCGACAAGCAUUAGAUUAGGGGACUGUCCCUGGCGAUGGUGAGCAAGCCCAGCCCGUACUGGGAAGCCUAAAGUUGUCAAAUGGUCACCCACCUUAAACAGCGGGGUUAUUGUUUCACACCUUUCUGGAACUUUU
RNAcentral lists this non-coding RNA (164 nucleotides) under Pseudobdellovibrionaceae bacterium. RNAcentral describes it as "Bdellovibrionaceae bacterium (activated sludge metagenome) 6S RNA". It matches the Rfam family "6S / SsrS RNA". From Rfam's summary of the family: E. coli 6S RNA was the first non coding RNA to be sequenced, but its function was unknown until recently. It consists of 184 nucleotides that fold into an extended hairpin structure with a large single-stranded internal bulge. The record is from RNAcentral. Lineage: Bacteria; Pseudomonadati; Bdellovibrionota; Bdellovibrionia; Bdellovibrionales; Pseudobdellovibrionaceae.